AUUGAACGCUGGCGGCAGGCCUAACACAUGCAAGUCGAGCGCGAAAGCACUUCGGUGUGAGUAGAGCGGCGGACGGGUGAGUAACGCGUAAGAAUCUACCUAGUAGUGGGGGACAACUCGAGGAAACUCGAGCUAAUACCGCAUACGCCCUACGGGGGAAAGCGGGGGACCUUCGGGCCUCGCGCUAUUAGAUGAGCUUGCGUUGGAUUAGCUUGUUGGUGAGGUAAUGGCUCACCAAGGCUACGAUCCAUAGCUGGUCUGAGAGGAUGAUCAGCCACACCGGGACUGAGACACGGCCCGGACUCCUACGGGAGGCAGCAGUGGGGAAUAUUGCGCAAUGGGCGAAAGCCUGACGCAGCCAUGCCGCGUGUGUGAAGAAGGCCUUAGGGUUGUAAAGCACUUUCAAUUGGGAGGAAAAGUUAACGACUAAUACUCGUUAGCCUUGACGUUACCUUUAGAAGAAGCACCGGCUAACUCCGUGCCAGCAGCCGCGGUAAUACGGAGGGUGCAAGCGUUAAUCGGAAUUACUGGGCGUAAAGCGCGCGUAGGCGGUUUUUUAAGUCGGAUGUGAAAGCCCCGGGCUCAACCUGGGAACUGCAUCCGAUACUGGAAGACUAGAGUGCGAGAGAGGGAGGUAGAAUUCCAUGUGUAGCGGUGAAAUGCGUAGAUAUAUGGAGGAAUACCAGUGGCGAAGGCGGCCUCCUGGCUCGACACUGACGCUGAG
This 724-nucleotide ribosomal RNA is filed under the name bacterium IMCC8944. Its description in RNAcentral is "bacterial SSU rRNA". It matches the Rfam family "Bacterial small subunit ribosomal RNA", at positions 28 to 750 of the family's 1533-position model. The record is from RNAcentral.